UACGUAGGGGGCAAGCGUUGUCCGGAAUUAUUGGGCGUAAAGCGCGUGUAGGCGGCUUGGCAAGUCGGUUGUGAAAGCCCGGGGCCCAACCCCGGAACUGCAUCUGAAACUGCCUGGCUAGAGUCCCGGAGAGGAAGGCAGAAUUCCCGGUGUAGGGGUGAAAUCCGUAGAUAUCGGGAGGAAUACCAGCGGCGAAGGCGGCCUUCUGGACGGUGACUGACGCUGAGACGCGAAAGCGUGGGGAGCAAACAGG
This 253-nucleotide ribosomal RNA is filed under the name uncultured bacterium. Its description in RNAcentral is "partial 16S ribosomal RNA". It matches the Rfam family "Bacterial small subunit ribosomal RNA", at positions 524 to 776 of the family's 1533-position model. The record is from RNAcentral.